Molecule: long non-coding RNA, 263 nt
Organism: Nyctereutes procyonoides (raccoon dog)
Lineage: Eukaryota; Metazoa; Chordata; Mammalia; Carnivora; Canidae
Exons: 3
Source: RefSeq, a predicted model, not a curated record
CUUUGUCCCCAUGGCAAACUUCAAGGCCAACAAAAGACAAAGGAGGAGGCAAGACUGCCUCUGGACAAAUGAAUAUAAGUUUCAUGAAAGCAAGAGUAUUGUCUAUUUUGUUCAACUAUGGUACCCUGCAGAGCCUACAAGAGCUCCUUUUGCUCAAGAGAGAGCACACAUGGAGGAAGAGGGUCAGAGGGAGAGGAACAAGUAGACUCCAUGCUCAGCACAGAGCCCUAUGCAGAGCUCAACCUUACCACCUGAGAUCAUGA